Molecule: ribosomal RNA, 253 nt
Filed under: uncultured bacterium
Lineage: Bacteria
Description: partial 16S ribosomal RNA
Rfam family: Bacterial small subunit ribosomal RNA
Source: RNAcentral
UACGAAGGGGGCUAGCGUUGCUCGGAAUCACUGGGCGUAAAGGGUGCGUAGGCGGGUCUUUAAGUCAGGGGUGAAAUCCUGGAGCUCAACUCCAGAACUGCCUUUGAUACUGAAGAUCUUGAGUUCGGGAGAGGUGAGUGGAACUGCGAGUGUAGAGGUGAAAUUCGUAGAUAUUCGCAAGAACACCAGUGGCGAAGGCGGCUCACUGGCCCGAUACUGACGCUGAGGCACGAAGGCCAGGGGAGCAAACGGG